This is a non-coding RNA of Schizosaccharomyces pombe (fission yeast), 482 nucleotides long. Lineage: Eukaryota; Fungi; Ascomycota; Schizosaccharomycetes; Schizosaccharomycetales; Schizosaccharomycetaceae. The record is from the annotation of a GenBank genome assembly.
CGUACUUCUAAAAUUUUAGUUACUAGAAGAAAGUUCAAAAACCACUGUGUACAAAGUUUUAGUAUGUGUCAAGGUUGCAACACGGAAAGCAAAUUGAGUAGAAAGAAAAAGGUUCUGUAUUUAACAUAGAAGGAUAGAAGAAUUAUGUGUCCGAAUUUCUAAAUUUGAAAAUAACUACUAUAUGAACCAAUGCAUCAGGCGAACUGAUAUGUCUCGUUUAACAUUAAGAGAAAGACAAUAUUCAAGAACACAUUAGACGAGCAAAUAAAAAUUUUUUGCGUUUUCUUUUAUAAUAACUUACUAAUUAUGUGGUGAAGUUUAAAUAUAGUGAAAACCAGGCCAUGUUAAUUUAUGAAACCAAAUAGCAUGUCAAAAAAAAAGAAGUUUUCAGCGUCUAAUUAUUGAUUUGCUUCUAUCGUCAAAAUGCAAAACAUUGUUUUCCAUAUCUUCAUUGCACUAGACACGUCAGUACCUAUUUUGGA